CUUUUCCAUUUUCACCAGAUAGCAUUAUAGCAAAUUACUUGCAUUUUGAUUCUACCAUCAUAUUUAAAGCUAAACCAUGUAUGAUGCACUAUCUUCCUCCAGACCAAUUUAACCCAACAAGACUUCUGAUGUAUUCGUUGGUUGAGAAUCAUGAUAUUGCAUAAAUUCCCUUUAUAAGCAAUUGCCAUGCAAUUUAACUCAUAUUAUACUCCAAAGAUAUCGGCAGUGUGAUCUACAGAGUUCAAACCUUGACAUCAGAAUAUAGUUUAUCAUGUACAUGUUUUUGAUAAGGAGAAAGAUUGCUUAUGCUUUUACAAAGCAUAGCAGCUCAUGCAUGUUAUAAACAAUAGAGCUUAUUUAAAAAAGAAAAAAAGGGAGCAGAUAAUAUAUGCUUGUCCUUCAAUUAAGGGGGAAAAAAGUAGUAACAAAAAAAAGACAAUCAGGAAAAAAAUACUAGACACCUACACAAAUAUGUUCACAUGAUUUUGAAGCUUCUUGUCAUUUUACCAAAAUAAAUAGCACAAUGAAAUCCUGUGACUUUCCCAAUUGCCCAGAGCUGACUUACAAUGACUUUCAUAUGAUCACACAAUCAGAUAUUCACAUAUUCAAAUUCCAGUAAGGGUAGAGAAAAUAAAACUCCGGAAAACAUUGCUCAACAAGCAUAAUUAUAGAAAGAUAUGAAAAAGUCCAUAGAGAAAU
RNAcentral lists this unclassified non-coding RNA (699 nucleotides) under Hevea brasiliensis (rubber tree). The record is from RNAcentral. Lineage: Eukaryota; Viridiplantae; Streptophyta; Magnoliopsida; Malpighiales; Euphorbiaceae.